Molecule: ribosomal RNA, 368 nt
Filed under: uncultured bacterium
Lineage: Bacteria
Description: bacterial SSU rRNA
Rfam family: Bacterial small subunit ribosomal RNA
Source: RNAcentral
GACGAACGCUGGCGGCGUGCUUAACACAUGCAAGUCACGGGGGUGCAGCAAUGCACAACCGGCGAACGGGUGCGUAACACGUGAGCAACCUACCGAUUUGUGGGGGAUAGCCGGCCCAACGGCCGGGUAAUACCGCAUGUGAUGAUCGGCCCACAUGGGCCGAUCAUCAAAGUCGUAUAGACGCAAAUCGAGGGGCUCGCGGCCUAUCAGCUAGUUGGCGAGGUCACGGCUCACCAAGGCGACGACGGGUAGCUGGUCUGAGAGGAUGGCCAGCCACACUUGGGACUGAGAAACGGCCCAGACUCCUACGGGAGGCAGCAGUGGGGAAGUCUUGCGCAAUGGGCGAAAGCCUGACGCAGCGACGCCGC